This 501-nucleotide ribosomal RNA is filed under the name uncultured bacterium. RNAcentral's name for it is "partial 16S ribosomal RNA". It matches the Rfam family "Bacterial small subunit ribosomal RNA", at positions 29 to 523 of the family's 1533-position model. The record is from RNAcentral.
AUUGAACGCUGGCGGCAUGCCUUACACAUGCAAGUCGAACGGCAGCACGGGUGCUUGCACCUGGUGGCGAGUGGCGAACGGGUGAGUAAUACAUCGGAACGUACCUUAUCGUGGGGGAUAACGCAGCGAAAGCUGUGCUAAUACCGCAUACGCCCUGAGGGGGAAAGCGGGGGAUCGAAAGACCUCGCGCGAUUAGAGCGGCCGAUGCCUGAUUAGCUUGUUGGUGGGGUAAAAGCCCCCCAAGGCGACGAUCAGUAGCUGGUCUGAGAGGACGAGCAGCUACACUGGGACUGAGACACGGCCCAGACUCCUACGGGGGGCAGCAGUGGGGAAUUUUGGACAAUGGGGGCAACCCUGAUCCAGCAAUGCCGCGUGAGUGAAGAAGGCCUUCGGGUUGUAAAGCUCUUUUGUCAGGGAAGAAACACCGGCUCUAACACAGUCCGGGAAUGACGGUACCUGAAGAAUAAGCACCGGCUAACUACGUGCCAGCCGCCGCCGUAA